UUCCCUCCACAUUUGGAAUCAAUGUGCGUUUAGAGGAUUUGCCCGCUGUAAAUGUCCAAGCGAUAAGCCAAAUUCUGUGGGCUUUCCAUUUGUGGCCAUGUCGCUUCUGAAAAAGAGCUUUAGAGCUCGGUGGGUCUUAAAAGGGUAAAAUAAAAAAAAAAACAUAUAAAAAUAGUUUGGCUUUAUGGGACGUGAUAACCCACUUCGUUGAGCUAUCAUUUGUGACCAACUCCAAGCAUACAAGCGUCAGGGUCUGGAUGGAACACCACGACCUCCUGCACACGAGGCGAGCUCGUGGGUGAACGCGCAGCGGACGGACGAGCUGCUACGGGAACGUGCUGCCAUCUCUUGGGCAGCUCGGCCCAGUGUCCCGUCCCUCGAUAAGAGAGCUCGACUAACGUCACGCACGCACGGCCACUCCAACGAGAACAAUGGACGAACGCUCGCUGCAUCAACAACGUCGCCCACACGCCGGGUGGAGCGCGCGAUGACCGCCAGGACUUCCCACACCCCCCCACAUCCACCCACCCACCCAGCACCUCACAACUCUCCCCCACUGCGGCCGAACGUUGUCGCAACUGCCACGCGGGCGUUAAGCGUGGCAGCCCAAUGCCAUUAUUGGUCCGCUGCGACGACGCUGCGUUGGCGUUGUGUUGCGACUGCUGGUUCGCCGUGCGUCCACAAGGGAAGCUCGCGUGGCGACAGCGGGUCUCGUCGCGAAAUCACGCUGGCAGCGAGCAGCAGCAGCAGCAGCGGCAGCAGCAGCAGCGGCAGUCCACGACGCCAGUGGUUCCGAUUGGAUCUCAGUCGUUACGCACGUGCACAAUGUUAACUAACACGUAGGGUUCUACGAAGCCAAGUAAGUUGUUACUAAACGUGCGCGUGCUCACUUUGUGUCGUCGAUUAUUUUACCUUCGAACACAAAUCUCGGCCAUGGGCUCGCACCCGCCCGCCCGCCCAACCCCUCCCUCCCCCCCCAGAAAGGGCAUCUCGCACCCCCAGGCAGUGAAGAACUCACUGCACUAUGCCAUCGACAGGACAAGACAGCGGUCUUCAUCGCAAGGCCCGCAGGCCACUGGCGGUCUUUAGCGCGAC
Petromyzon marinus (sea lamprey) is the source of this 1095-nucleotide long non-coding RNA. RefSeq lists it as uncharacterized. NCBI's taxonomy places the organism in Eukaryota, Metazoa, Chordata, Hyperoartia, Petromyzontiformes, Petromyzontidae. The record is from RefSeq and is a predicted model, not a curated record.